Molecule: long non-coding RNA, 5031 nt
Organism: Seriola aureovittata
Lineage: Eukaryota; Metazoa; Chordata; Actinopteri; Carangiformes; Carangidae
Exons: 3
Source: RefSeq, a predicted model, not a curated record
UGCACAUGCGGUGUUUUUUGUUGUUGUUGUUGUUGUUGUUGCAUUUGUUUUGGGGGUUUGUGUGUUUUUGCUGUUGCCUCGUUUCCGUAUUUGCAGCGUGUUUGCUGUUCAUGUCUUUGUUUUGGCUUCCUGCAGCACGUUUUUUCAUUUGCAGCGCGUUCCUGUUGGUUUUGUAUUUUCAUAUGUGUUUUUUCGAAUCUGCAUCGUUUAUGAAUUUUGCAGCUUGUUUUUUGCUACUGGGAGUGUUUUGGGCCGUUGCAGCGCGUUUGCCCAAGUUGGCCACAGUAUGGAGACAGGCACAGUUUCCCAGGAGCUGGUGGAGGAAGCAUCUGUAGAAGAGCAGCAGCUCCUCUUCCCUCACGGCCCUUCACGGAGCAACAAGGCUCCAGCCCAGGUCAUGACAGCCACCGGGGACAUUGAGCGCUCUGGCCGGCCUGCUCACAGCAGACCGCAGCACACAGGUUCUAAUCCACCUAGCACAGCAAAGCACAGCACAGCUAAGCAACAGAAGUAUUAACCUUUGUUAAUGUACAUGUUGGUUAAUGUCUUGUUAUUGUAAUGUUUGCUUAGGUUGUGGUUAGUCACAGAGUUAAUUGGGUACUUGUAUGUUCACACACAUACCCGUAGUAUGUCUCGGCUCUAGAACCUGCAUGCAGCUAACCUUCUCCCGCUAACCUGGUACCUUUAGACUACAUGAGCUAGACUAACAAAGAAACUCACACCUUCCCACCCCCACACACCAAGUGGUUUCAGCGGCCAUUUUGAGUAGUUACUUUGUUUACCGCCAUCUUGUGUAGUCUUCUUUGUUCAGGCUAUGUGGUCACAGCAACCAUUUUAAAUCAGCCAUCUUGCCGUAUAACUGCUGGUGUGUUUAAUGUUGCACAAGUGUGAGUAUUGCCAUCCUCUACAGAGUAGAACUCCAAUCCUUCAACUUUAACUUACUGUUGAUAUCGUAAUUUGGAUAUAGUUAUUAAGUUAAUUAUUAAUCAGAGUUCCAGAUUAAUAGUAAUAAUUUGAGGUACUGCCUCUGGUAAUAUCAAAAAGCUUUUCCAUUAAAAGCAUGACGUGUGCAGAACAGUGAGAAAGAGAAAGGGAGUGGGUCUACAAAUCUUCAUCUGAAUACUGUCCACACCAGGAAAACAUUGCAUUCUGCAUUUGCAUUCUCUCUCCUACUUUAGGAGUAUUGUUUUCUUUUAAUCACAAGUGUGUUUUUCAUCUAAACUUAACUAAGAAGUUCUAGUUUCCUAAACUUAACCAUCCAGGUAACACAUUAGAAAAUGCUCACAUUAGCUGUUUUGCAGGCAAACAACCUCUAAUUUUGUUUAGACCUGAGGUCCUUGUUAAAUAUGUUUAAUAUUCUCUAUUUUGAGGAAAAGAGUGAGUGUUUUCUUCAUAAUUUAAGUAUAAAGCUCUGUUGGAUUUUUUUUUUAUGGAUUUUGACAUGCCUGUCAGCCAUGUGCCCUCAGUGUCAGAAUGAAGCUGAAUGAACUUUAAAGAACUUUGUCUCAUCUCAUUUAGUUUGAGCCACCACACCUGAGCACAGAUGUAGAAUACUGGACUUUACACUUUUUGUUCACACUUUUUUUUUUUGCUUGUUAAACACAUGACAGUUUGAAUUUUACUCUUACUCUGCAAUGAUUUACUCUGAGGAGGCAGGUUGAGAUUACCAGUACUCAACACCCUGACAGGAUUUGCUUUUUUGUGGGGUGAAUGCAGUUAGCCUUUGUGUCAGAGAAACAUCCCAAGGCAGCUAAUACAAAUUUAUAAACUGCAAAGGUACGUGAGUGAUAAUUGUUAGGAGUGCCUUGUGAUCAUAAGGUUCAGAAUUUAGGAACAACCUUUCAAACUUUAUAUUGAUCUGUAUGUUUGGCUGAUGCUACAACAGUAAUUUAACUGCAUGACUAAUGUGGCAAUUUUAUCAACAAAGCAAGAACUUCAACACAGAAAGCUCACGUCUAAGGAAGGCUGGUCAGAAAAACACAAAACAAACCAAAAAAUAUUAAACUGAGAAGAAAGCUACACUGAGUUGCAUCCAUUUUUUUCUGGCUCCAGAAACUAAUUAUCCAUAAUUGAAUAACUAUUUGGAAUACUUAUAAAUGGAAAGUGAAAUACAGCUAAUUACAAAUGAAUAUACACUUUUUAGUAAUGAUUAGUACUUCAUGAAAACAAGGCCGGCCCAAGGCAUACUUGGGCUCAAUCCCAUUUCACCCCUUGCCCCUACCACUUAGCCCUACCCCUCCGUUUUGCGUGAUCACGUUUAGGCGUAGGGUGUCCCGAUUUGUUGUAUUAAAUUCUCACUAAAAUAUACUAUGCAUUAUAAACAUACUGAAUGUUAAAUUUAUAUAAUCCAAUGGAAUAGCUAUGCUCACAACUGAGGUUAGAUUUGUAUGUGAACCAGCCUUUACUGAACUAGGAUUGUUAUUGAAUCGAACCUGGAGGGAAUAAAGUAAAACAAAAAUGGUGUGAAGGCCCUGGGAGCAAUGGUGUUGGAGUAGCAGCUGUAGUGAGGCCUAGAUUGAGGAUAGACGAGAGCCUUAGGUUUAGGGUAAUUGGGAGGCUUUUGGAUGCCUGGACCUACUACACGCCUUGUCCACAGGAGUCUUAGUUAGGGUAGAUGAGAGGCUUCUCGACACCUGGUCCUACUACUCUACCUUGGCAGGCCUGUUUUGGGGAAUUCCACACGGGGCUGGACACCAUUGUUCCCAAGGCGUUGAUAGGUUCCCUUUAGAAAAUAAGUGUAGAACCCACCUCUUUUCCUCCAACAGAUUCUUGUUGAGAUAGAGGGGUAGGGUGAAGUGGAGGGGCUAACUGGGCCUUCAAACGAAGAUUUUUCAAGGGCACACUUUAAACCGAGUGUCAUGAGAUAUUUUCCCGAAUGCCUUGGGAAUCACCGGCAAGAUGGCUGAGUCACCGACCCAAGCGACCAAAGAGACUCAUGUAAUUUUCUCCGUUAAUAAAGAUUUAAAAAUUAUGGCAACCAUUGUUGUUUCAAUUAAUUAUGGUCCUUUUCUUCAUGAAAGCCACACAAAAAAUCGCUAGUAGUAUGCUGAUGUCUCUGUAUCUAUGUUAGCUUUACAUCUUUAUUACUGAUGCAUGACAAUCCCACAUUUUGGCAUAUUUUAAUGCUGCAUUCCCACCCCAUUUGAUGGCAUAUGACAUCCUAAAUUUGACUCCAACGUCCAGCAUCUGCUUAAGUGAAAGCCAUCGGAGACUACUGAUGACGUAUUGCGUUUUUAAAGGGGUGUCCCAUUUUAUAGGGGUAAAUUUCAAGGGCUACCCCUUGUAACUCAGUUCCAAGAGGCAGGGGACAAGGGAUAAAGCUAUUAUACACAUGUAUGUACUGUACAGUCUGCUACAGUGCUGAAAUAUAACACUAUAGCUUACUAUAGGUAUGUAUUUUAACACAAAAAAUUUUUCAACACAGAAAUAAUAAAAACAUUUUAAUCGACGCGCACCGCCCGUGGCAACCAGCACACACGCCCAUACCUAGGGCACACAGCAUCUAUCUGUGCGCAUGGUGUGCACUCUCAUGCCAAGAGCCGCUGUUGCUGUUCGCUCUGAGAUUUAUUUGAUUGUUAUUUUUUGUUUAUUGUAUGUUGGUGUUUGGAUUUUACAAUUGCUCUACCUGGAGAUGACGCACAGGUUCUCAGAGACCAGUUUGGCUGGACUGCACAGCAGCCGGCAGCCCUGUUCUUUGUCAACAAUGAAGGUAAUUAUUGCUCACUAUAGGCCUACUAUUUACAAAAUCAAAAACUAGUUUGUAUUCACUAAAUAAGGUUUGUGAGAUGGCUGCUUCUGUGACUAUCCCGCAUCCUACCUGGAGUGGUCAUGCUGAUAGAUGUUUUUCUACUUUCCAAUUUUUUGCGGGUACACAGGCUAAACCCAGUGUGUAAAAUUGCGAUCACAUCGCGAUUUCUCUUUCUCUCUCUCUCCCUAAUGUGAUAUGAGCCUUACUAUAUUAUGACGUUUUCAUUUUUCGUGCCUUACUAUACUAUGAAAUUUUAUGCUUUCCUAUACUAUGACGAUUUUAUGCCUCACUAUGACAUUAUUAUGCCGUAAUAUUGUAUGUGCUUUUUAUGCCUUACUAUACUAUGAUGUUUUUAAGCCUUACUAUAAAAUUACUUUUCUAUUCUUUACUAUAUACCGUUUUUAUGCCUUACUGUAAUAUUACAUCGUUUAUGUCUUACUAUACUAAGACGUGUUUAUAAUGAUUUUAUGCCUCAUAUACUAUCAUGUUUUUUAUGUCUUACAAUUCUAUGAUUUUUUAUUAUGUUGUUAUACGUCACUAUUCUGACAAUUUUAUGACAUUUUUAUGCAUUACUAUACUAUGACGUCAUUUUUUUGUAUCACUAUACUUUAAUUUUUUUAUGCCUCACUAUAGUGUGACUUUUUUUCUGCCUCAUUAUACAAUGAUGUUUUUUAUUGCUUACUAUACUUUUACGUUUUUAUGAUGUUUUUGAUGCCACAUUAUACUAUGAGUGUUUAUGAUGUUUUAAUGCCUCACUAUACUACGUUUUUUAUGUCUUAAUAUACUAUGAUGAUUUUAUAACGAUUUUAUCCCUCACUAUAGUAUGACUUUGACUAUGUCCUUUUCAUACUGUUUUCAUGCCUUACUAUACUGUGAAGUUUUAGAUGUUUUUUUGCCUUACUAUUCUAUGUCGCUUUAAUGCCUUUAUACACUAUGACGUUUUUGUGAUGUUUUUUUACCUUGCUAUACUAUGACAUUUUUUACGCCUUAUCAUUCUAUGACAUUUUUAUCCCUUACUAACCUUUGACUUUUUUUAUACCUUACUAUACUAUGACAUUUUCAUGAUAUUUUCAUGUCUUACUAUACUAUGAUGUUUUUAUGCCUGUUUUUAUGCCUAAUUAUACAAUGAUGUUUUUUUUCAUUACUAUAAUAUAACAUUUUAAUGAUGUUUUUAUGCCUUACUGUAUUAUGACGUUUUUAUGUCUUACUAUAGUAUGACGUCUUCAUGAUGUUUUCAUGCCUUACUAUACUAUGAUGUUUUUAUGCCUUAUUAUACUAUGAUG